GACCCCAUCGUCUAGAGGCCUAGGACAUCGCCCUUUCACGGCGGUAACGGGGGUUCGAAUCCCCCUGGGGUCGCCA
RNAcentral lists this transfer RNA (76 nucleotides) under Acetobacter sp. Its description in RNAcentral is "tRNA-Glu". It matches the Rfam family "tRNA". From Rfam's summary of the family: Transfer RNA (tRNA) molecules are approximately 80 nucleotides in length. Their secondary structure includes four short double-helical elements and three loops (D, anti-codon, and T loops). Further hydrogen bonds mediate the characteristic L-shaped molecular structure. tRNAs have two regions of fundamental functional importance: the anti-codon, which is responsible for specific mRNA codon recognition, and the 3' end, to which the tRNAs corresponding amino acid is attached (by aminoacyl-tRNA synthetases). tRNAs cope with the degeneracy of the genetic code in two manners: having more than one tRNA (with a specific anti-codon) for a particular amino acid; and 'wobble' base-pairing, i.e. permitting non-standard base-pairing at the 3rd anti-codon position. The record is from RNAcentral. RNAcentral also lists the same sequence under 1 other name. Lineage: Bacteria; Pseudomonadati; Pseudomonadota; Alphaproteobacteria; Acetobacterales; Acetobacteraceae.